UAGGGAAUAUUGCGCAAUGGACGGAAGUCUGACGCAGCGACGCCGCGUGAGCGAUGAAGGUCUUCGGAUCGUAAAGCUCUGUCCUUGGGGAAGAAGGCGAAAGCUUGACGGUACCCAAGAAGAAAGCCCCGGCUAACUACGUGCCAGCAGCCGCGGUAAUACGUAGGGGGCGAGCGUUGUCCGGAAUUACUGGGCGUAAAGGGUGCGUAGGCGGCCCUUUAAGUCGGAUGUGAAAGCCCGCGGCUUAACCGCGGAAUGGCAUUCGAAACUGGAGGGCUUGAGUGUCGGAGAGGGUAGUGGAAUUCCCAGUGUAGCGGUGAAAUGCGUAGAUAUUGGGAGGAACACCAGUGGCGAAGGCGACUACCUGGACGAUAACUGACGCUGAGGCACGAAAGCUAGGGGAGCAAACA
Molecule: ribosomal RNA, 410 nt
Filed under: uncultured bacterium
Lineage: Bacteria
Description: bacterial SSU rRNA
Rfam family: Bacterial small subunit ribosomal RNA
Source: RNAcentral